AACAAACGCUGGCGGCAGGCUUCAUACAUGCAAGUCGAGCGGAAAGGCCCUUCGGGGUACUCGAGCGGCGAACGGGUGAGUAACAGGUGGACAAUCUGCCCUCUGGCGGGGGACAACAGCUGGAAACGGCUGCUAAUACCGCAUGUGGUUGCAUGCCCCAGGGUGUGCAAAGAAAGGCGCGUUUGCGUCACCAGAGGAUGAGUCCGCCCCCCAUUAGCUAGUUGGUGUGAUAACAGCGCACCAAGGCUUCGAUGGGUAGCCGAGCUGAGAGGUUGAUCGGCCACACUGGGACUGAGACACGGCCCAGACACCUACGGGUGGCAGCAGUAGGGGAAUAUUGGACAAUGGGCGAAAGCCUGAUCCAGCCAUGCCGCGUGAGUGACGAAGGUCUUCGGAUUGUAAAACUACUUUUAUGAGGGAAGAACCGCCUGGGAGGAAAAUGCCCUGGGUCUGACGGUA
Molecule: ribosomal RNA, 459 nt
Filed under: uncultured bacterium
Lineage: Bacteria
Description: bacterial SSU rRNA
Rfam family: Bacterial small subunit ribosomal RNA
Source: RNAcentral